AACGAACGCUGGCGGCAGGCCUAACACAUGCAAGUCGAGCGAGGACUUCGGUCCUAGCGGCGGACGGGGGAGUAACGCGUGGGAACGUGCCCUUUGCUUCGGAAUAGCCCUGGGAAACUGGGAGUAAUACCGGAUGAGCCCUUUGGGGGAAAGAUUUAUCGGCGAAGGAUCGGCCCGCGUUGGAUUAGGUAGUUGGGGGGGUAAUGGCCUACCAAGCCGACGAGCCAUAGCUGGUUUGAGAGGAUGAUCAGCCACACUGGGACUGAGACACGGCCCAGACUCCUACGGGAGGCAGCAGUGGGGAAUCUUAGACAAUGGGGGAAACCCUGAUCUAGCCAUGCCGCGUGAGCGAUGAAGGCCUUAGGGUUGUAAAGCUCUUUCAGCUGGGAAGAUAAUGACGGUACCAGCAGAAGAAGCCCCGGCUAACUCCGUG
This 433-nucleotide ribosomal RNA is filed under the name uncultured bacterium. RNAcentral's name for it is "partial 16S ribosomal RNA". It matches the Rfam family "Bacterial small subunit ribosomal RNA", at positions 29 to 507 of the family's 1533-position model. The record is from RNAcentral.